UUUCGCUCUUCUUUUAUAAAGCACCAUUUGUCACAGCAGCACUGCCAUUUACAGACAAGAAGGGAACUACUGAUAACAUUCAGGCUCUGCACAAGCACAUGAUCAAAAGAACUAGCUUUUGAGGGAAAACCAAGGCAAUCAUGAGCAUCAUUGGCUUAGCAUACAAGCUUAUUUGCAAAACAUUACAGAAGGUGGUCACAGAAGACUAUCAGAAAUAUUGUCUCAGAAAAUAGCACAAAACUGUUGAGGAAAGAAUAAGCUAAUUGCAUAUCAUAUGACCCUGAUAAAUCCAUUUAUUCCCAGAA
This is a long non-coding RNA of Antechinus flavipes (yellow-footed antechinus), 305 nucleotides long. RefSeq lists it as uncharacterized. The record is from RefSeq and is a predicted model, not a curated record. NCBI's taxonomy places the organism in Eukaryota, Metazoa, Chordata, Mammalia, Dasyuromorphia, Dasyuridae. The transcript has 2 exons.